CUGAGCUAGUGAUGAUAAGGUUAUCCCUGUCUGAAAUUAAGUUUUCCCCUGUGGAAUCAUGAUUCUGAGGCUCAG
This is a small nucleolar RNA of Anser brachyrhynchus (Pink-footed goose), 75 nucleotides long. The record is from Ensembl. Lineage: Eukaryota; Metazoa; Chordata; Aves; Anseriformes; Anatidae.